Molecule: ribosomal RNA, 905 nt
Filed under: Curtobacterium sp.
Lineage: Bacteria; Bacillati; Actinomycetota; Actinomycetes; Micrococcales; Microbacteriaceae
Description: bacterial SSU rRNA
Rfam family: Bacterial small subunit ribosomal RNA
Source: RNAcentral
GGGCGUAAGAGCUCGUAGGCGGUUUGUCGCGUCUGCUGUGAAAUCCCGAGGCUCAACCUCGGGCUUGCAGUGGGUACGGGCAGACUAGAGUGCGGUAGGGGAGAUUGGAAUUCCUGGUGUAGCGGUGGAAUGCGCAGAUAUCAGGAGGAACACCGAUGGCGAAGGCAGAUCUCUGGGCCGUAACUGACGCUGAGGAGCGAAAGCGUGGGGAGCGAACAGGAUUAGAUACCCUGGUAGUCCACGCCGUAAACGUUGGGCGCUAGAUGUAGGGACCUUUCCACGGUUUCUGUGUCGUAGCUAACGCAUUAAGCGCCCCGCCUGGGGAGUACGGCCGCAAGGCUAAAACUCAAAGGAAUUGACGGGGGCCCGCACAAGCGGCGGAGCAUGCGGAUUAAUUCGAUGCAACGCGAAGAACCUUACCAAGGCUUGACAUACACCGGAAACGGCCAGAGAUGGUCGCCCCCUUGUGGUCGGUGUACAGGUGGUGCAUGGUUGUCGUCAGCUCGUGUCGUGAGAUGUUGGGUUAAGUCCCGCAACGAGCGCAACCCUCGUUCUAUGUUGCCAGCGGGUCAUGCCGGGGACUCAUAGGAGACUGCCGGGGUCAACUCGGAGGAAGGUGGGGAUGACGUCAAAUCAUCAUGCCCCUUAUGUCUUGGGCUUCACGCAUGCUACAAUGGCCGGUACAAAGGGCUGCGAUACCGUAAGGUGGAGCGAAUCCCAAAAAGCCGGUCUCAGUUCGGAUUGAGGUCUGCAACUCGACCUCAUGAAGUCGGAGUCGCUAGUAAUCGCAGAUCAGCAACGCUGCGGUGAAUACGUUCCCGGGCCUUGUACACACCGCCCGUCAAGUCAUGAAAGUCGGUAACACCCGAAGCCGGUGGACUAACCCUUGUGGAAGAGCCGUCGAA